Molecule: ribosomal RNA, 893 nt
Filed under: uncultured soil archaeon
Lineage: Archaea
Description: bacterial SSU rRNA
Rfam family: Archaeal small subunit ribosomal RNA
Source: RNAcentral
ACCCGACUGCUAUCAGAGUGAGAUUAAGCCAUGCGAGUCAACGUAGCAAUACGUGGCACACGGCUCAGUAACACGUAGUCAACAUAACCAAAGGACGUGGAUAAACUCGGGAAACUGAGGAUAAACCGCGAUAGGCCAAGGUUUCUGGAAUGAGCCAUGACCUAAAUCUAUAUGGCCUUUGGAUUGGACUGCGGCCGAUCAGGCUGUUGGUGAGGUAAUGGCCCACCAAACCUGUUACCGGUACGGGCUUUGAGAGAAGGAGCCCGGAGAUGGGCACUGAGACAAGGGCCCAGGCCCUAUGGGGCGCAGCAGGCGCGAAACCUCUGCAAUAGGCGAAAGCCUGACAGGGUUACUCUGAGUGAUGCCCGCUAAGGGUAUCUUUUGGCACCUCUAAAAAUGGUGCAGAAUAAGGGGUGGGCAAGUCUGGUGUCAGCCGCCGCGGUAAUACCAGCACCCCGAGUGGUCGGGACGAUUAUUGGGCCUAAAGCAUCCGUAGCCGGUUCUGCAAGUCCUCCGUUAAAUCCACCUGCUCAACAGAUGGGCUGCGGAGGAUACCGCAGAGCUAGGAGGCGGGAGAGGCAAACGGUACUCGGUGGGUAGGGGUAAAAUCCAUUGAUCCACCGAAGACCACCAGUGGCGAAGGCGGUUUGCCAGAACGCGCUCGACGGUGAGGGAUGAAAGCUGGGGGAGCAAACCGGAUUAGAUACCCGGGUAGUCCCAGCUGUAAACGAUGCAGACUCGGUGAUGGGUUGGCUUCGAGCCAACCCAGUGCCGCAGGGAAGCCGUUAAGUCUGCCGCCUGGGGAGUACGGUCGCAAGACUGAAACUUAAAGGAAUUGGCGGGGGAGCACCACAAGGGGUGAAGCCUGCGGUUCAAUUGGACUCAACGCCGGA